Molecule: ribosomal RNA, 253 nt
Filed under: uncultured bacterium
Lineage: Bacteria
Description: partial 16S ribosomal RNA
Rfam family: Bacterial small subunit ribosomal RNA
Source: RNAcentral
UACGUAGGGUGCAAGCGUUGUCCGGAAUUAUUGGGCGUAAAGAGCUCGUAGGCGGUUUGUCGCGUCUGCUGUGAAAACUCGGGGCUUAACCCCGGGCCUGCAGUGGGUACGGGCAGACUAGAGUGCGGUAGGGGAGAUCGGAAUUCCUGGUGUAGCGGUGAAAUGCGCAGAUAUCAGGAGGAACACCGGUGGCGAAGGCGGAUCUCUGGGCCAUUACUGACGCUGAGGAGCGAAAGCGUGGGGAGCGAACAGG